AUUGAACGCUGGCGGCAGGCUUAAUACAUGCAAGUCGAACGAGUGGCGGACGGGUGAGUAAUGUCUGGGAAUCUAGCUUAUGGAGGGGGAUAACUACGGGAAACUGUAGCUAAUACCGCAUACCAUCAGAUGUGCCCAGAUGGGAUUAGCUAGUAGGUGGGGUAACGGCUCAACUAGGCGACGAUCCCUAGCUGGUCUGAGAGGAUGACCAGCCACACUGGAACUGAGACACGGUCCAGACUCCUACGGGAGGCAGCAGUGGGGAAUAGUGCACAAUGGGCGCAAGCCUGAUGCAGCCAUGCCGCGUGUGUGAAGAAGGCCUUCGGGUUGUAAAGCACUUUCAGCGGGGAGGCGUUACCCGCAGAAGAAGCACCGGCUAACUCCGUGCCAGCAGCCGCGGUAAUAC
RNAcentral lists this ribosomal RNA (406 nucleotides) under uncultured bacterium. RNAcentral's name for it is "partial 16S ribosomal RNA". It matches the Rfam family "Bacterial small subunit ribosomal RNA", at positions 30 to 526 of the family's 1533-position model. The record is from RNAcentral.